RNAcentral lists this ribosomal RNA (492 nucleotides) under uncultured bacterium. RNAcentral's name for it is "partial 16S ribosomal RNA". It matches the Rfam family "Bacterial small subunit ribosomal RNA", at positions 29 to 507 of the family's 1533-position model. The record is from RNAcentral.
AGUGAACGCUGGCGGUAGGCCUAACACAUGCAAGUCGAACGGCAGCACAGUAAGAGCUUGCUCUUACGGGUGGCGAGUGGCGGACGGGUGAGGAAUACAUCGGAAUCUACUUUUUCGUGGGGGAUAACGUAGGGAAACUUACGCUAAUACCGCAUACGACCUACGGGUGAAAGCAGGGGAUCUUCGGACCUUGCGCGAUUGAAUGAGCCGAUGUCGGAUUAGCUAGUUGGCGGGGUAAAGGCCCACCAAGUCGACGAUCCGUAGCUGGUCUGAGAGGAUGAUCAGCCACACUGGAACUGAGACACGGUCCAGACUCCUACGGGAGGCAGCAGUGGGGAAUAGUGGACAAUGGGCGCAAGCCUGAUCCAGCCAUACCGCGUGGGUGAAGAAGGCCUUCGGGUUGUAAAGCCCUUUUGUUGGGAAAGAAAAGCAGCAGGUUAAUACCCCGCUGUUCUGACGGUACCCAAAGAAUAAGCACCGGCUAACUUCGUG